GUUGGCUAGCGUCCGUUGCCGACCCAGAACAGGCCAGAUGCAUUCCGUGCAAAAGUAGCCUACAUUCAAGCUCGGCACCAUGGGGAUUAAGGCUGUCGUCAGCCAUAUGCAGAGCCAAAAACAUAAAACCUCUGCCAGGAACCACACACAGACCCCAGCCAUUUCUACGUUUUGCAUCUCUGCCCCGGCGCCACCGCCGCAGACGGUCCGCGCUGCUGGCACUGACCUGAGGGGUAGCAUUUGGUGCGACACCAACACUGAAAGCGGAGGUGUUGUGGAUUCUAAACACAGUGGUCAAGCACCAGUCCUACAACUCGAAUGAGGGGAUAGGAGAUCUCUUCGGUUUGAUGUUCCCUGACUCUCAAAUCGCGAGCACCUUUACUGCUGGAAGGGACAAAACGGCGUAUAUAACUCGCUUCGGACCAGCGCCUUUCAUCCGAAACGAGCGAAUCUGCAGCGUCAACAAGGCUGAUUUUGUUUUGAUAUUUGAGACGUUGAACCACGCCAAUAAAAGCAAGCAACUUGACGUGCACGUUCGAUAUUGGGUCGGAGAUCGAGUGCAUUCCCGGUACUUGGGCUCGCAAUUCAUGGGGCCCCACAUAUAUGGAGGUAAAAGGGAUGAUGAUACAUAAUAUUUUGUAGACAAUAUGCAGAAUCUUUUCACUUACGAAUUAACACGGUUGGCUAUUUUUGCCAGCACGCCACCCUAGCCAUAUUAUGGGCAACCGUGUUCCCCUUGGCUGUGAUUUAAACUUUGAAUUCCUCGUAGGAGUUCAUAAUAAUACAUUGCUCGCCUUGGAUGAAAUACAACGCUCUUGCGCGAUUUAUUUUGCAUAAGGGUGAUUCAAAUGACGUGAGAAACGCCCCUUUUAUGUGAACGCGCAUUGAACCUAAAGCGGAAAACCUGGUUCAACUAAUUGAAUCUAAAGUGAGCGUCGUGGUACCAUUUAACUGUGAUUGCGAGUUGCGGCUCUGUCGAGCCAGGUUUUCCCAAGAAAGCCUGGGUAUGUUCAACGAGGUUCGUGGUAUACCCCCCAGGUCUUACUGAAGGCAUUUAUUUAAUGGUGAAAAUAUUAUUAAUAAGUGGCGUAAAUAUCGACGGUGCAACCUGUGCAGCUGCCCGGUGCAACUACAGCCCAGACGCUGUCACCCUCCUCUCAACAACUUACAACUUGGGUGCACCAUAAAUACAUGCUGGUGCACCCAAAUUAAAAAUUUAGGCGCACCAGUGCACCCAAGGAAAAAGUUAGUCCGGAGCCCUGGAGUAUCACUUUAUGUUCAAUAAACAGACAAAAAGUAAAAUUGAAUGAGUCUCAUCGAGUGACACACAUGCUAUGCUUGGGUUGUAAUACAGCGGGAUCCCCCCGCCAUCGCGGGUUUAAGGUCUUAAAUUUCAUUCAAGGUGGUAUUAAAAAGGUCUUAAAAAGUCUUAAAUUUGACUUGCUGAAACCUGCAGAUACCCUGUAUAAGGU
Gadus morhua (Atlantic cod) is the source of this 1472-nucleotide long non-coding RNA. The record is from Ensembl. Lineage: Eukaryota; Metazoa; Chordata; Actinopteri; Gadiformes; Gadidae.